Molecule: long non-coding RNA, 936 nt
Organism: Rhea pennata
Lineage: Eukaryota; Metazoa; Chordata; Aves; Rheiformes; Rheidae
Exons: 4
Source: RefSeq, a predicted model, not a curated record
CUGCGGAGGGAGACAAGGCCUCGGGCCUGCUGGGGAACUGGUGGGAAGACUGUGGCAGACUGGAAUUGGUCGUAGCGGCUCCACCAUGCCUGAGCCACUGGCAGGGCGGAUCGGUGCCACGUGUCCGGAGGGCUCAGGAGAAGGCUAUGCAGCAUGGAGGCAAGUAGACAGUCUGCUGUUUAGGGCAGCUGCCCCAACAUGGGACGGGAGCCAGCCUGGCUGAUGCAGAUCCAUUUGGAAGAGGCACUGGCUUCUGCAGAGGGAGACAAGGCCUCAGGCCUGCUCGGGAGCUGAUGGGAAGGCUGUAACAGACUGGAAUUGGUCGUAGCGGCUCCACCAUGCCUGAACUGCUGGCAGGGUGGAUUGGUUGGAAUUUGUCAGAAGUUGUCCGAGGAUCUGCUGUGGUAGCAGUGUACUAGUGAGAAGCUGUCUCCUGCUAAUGAUGCCCCUGUCUGUUACUGCUGUCUGUGAUCCCUUGUCUGAUCUCUUUGGUCUUUUCUCAGAGUUAGCAGGGAGUGAUAAAUUGGUGUUCUGCCAACUCACAGAUGAAGGGUGGUGAUUUAUUUUUCUUUUCCUUCCUCAGUUUCAGGCAUUUAAUUAUAAUGGAUUCUGGAACUUGCUAUAAGUUUAAUAUAAUCUCAUACUUUUGCCUGCAAGGGCUGCAUUCACCACCUGAUAAUGUUACCUUGCUGCUAUCAUUGAAAGUACGGUAGUAUCACCUUAAAAAGGAGUUUUUAUGUAUGGCCUUGUGGUUAAGGCUAGUCCUUUUCCAAGAGUGAGGGUUCAGAUCUUGGCUAUACCCUGUUACUCAGUAAGCUUCAGCUUGUCACUAUCUUCCUAUAGUAUGGGCAAGGGACCUCAUGGAUGCUGCAGUGCAGUCUGGGUUUCUGUAUUGCUUAGAGCUUACUAUUUAAUAAAAUCUGAGUAUUGUGUGAA